RNAcentral lists this ribosomal RNA (253 nucleotides) under uncultured bacterium. Its description in RNAcentral is "partial 16S ribosomal RNA". It matches the Rfam family "Bacterial small subunit ribosomal RNA", at positions 524 to 776 of the family's 1533-position model. The record is from RNAcentral.
GACGUAGGGCGCGAGCGUUGUCCGGAUUUAUUGGGCGUAAAGAGCUCGUAGGCGGCUUGCCGCGUCGUCCGUGAAAACUUGGGGCUCAACCCCAAGCUUGCGGUCGAUACGGGCAGGCUAGAGUUCGGUAGGGGAGACUGGAAUUCCUGGUGUAGCGGUGAAAUGCGCAGAUAUCAGGAGGAACACCGGUGGCGAAGGCGGGUCUCUGGGCCGAUACUGACGCUGAGGAGCGAAAGCGUGGGGAGCGAACAGG